UUGUAUAGAGUAUUUAAAUAAACAUGACAGAAACCAUUUUUCAACCCCAGUCCUUAAAAAGUUGGGACGCUGUAUAAAAUGUGAAAAAACAACAACAAAAAAAACCCCACAGUAAUGUGUCUCAUCUUUGUGCAUUAUGGGACUAAAGUUGUUUGAUUGAAAACCUGCAGGUCCCUCUCCUGUGGUCCCCCCUGGCCCUCUCGCUCAAAGAUCUGUGAAAGAGUCGUGGGCUCAGUGGUCCCUGAGUAGGGGGGUGGAGUCCCUCCCAGAAUCCAUCACAGAGUAUCUCCAGCAGAGCAGCAGAGUGCAGCUGCACAGAGAGGCAGCUGUUCGACACAUCAGCCCUUCAGCCUCGGGUUGGGAGAUCAGUCUGAAGGAUGGAGUUGUAUCUGCUGACCACAUCAUCUCUGCGCUGCCUGCCAAAGCGCUCGCCUCUGUCCUGCCCUCCUCCUAUCAGCCUCUCAUCCAGCUGCUGCAAGAGAUCUCCACGGUAACAGUCGCUGUGGUAAAUCUGGAGUAUGAGGGCUCCAUCCUGCCUGUGACGGUGAGGAGUGCAGUCGAACACACACACUAAAUACUUUAGUUUAGAACUGUGAAUGGAGCUCUGCAGAGGUCAUCAGAUGACUGGAUUUGAGAGCAAAAUACCUAAACAGCAGAUUGGUGUAAGAACACAAUGACUCCAUUCAGGGGCAUCGCCAGGAAUUCUGGGCCCCAUGAAAACAUAUCUCACUGGGCCCCAUCACCACGGCCCAUGACAACCCUGCACAAUUGUUAUAACCAGUCUGGCAAAUACUCAAAUGAACUGCCCUCACU
Molecule: non-coding RNA, 813 nt
Organism: Plectropomus leopardus (leopard coralgrouper)
Lineage: Eukaryota; Metazoa; Chordata; Actinopteri; Perciformes; Serranidae
Source: RefSeq, a predicted model, not a curated record